This 265-nucleotide long non-coding RNA is filed under the name Cavia porcellus (domestic guinea pig). Its description in RNAcentral is "lncRNA (ENSCPOG00000034521.1)". The record is from RNAcentral. Lineage: Eukaryota; Metazoa; Chordata; Mammalia; Rodentia; Caviidae.
CUGAUACAGGAAGAGGGACGAAACUUAAAGGAAGUGAAGUCUCAGACUGAGUCAAACUGGAAGAAAUGGCACGGUAAUUCCCAGGGAUCGCUGGCGUGCAUGGUGGGCAGAAGUGCGGAUGAAAGUUGGAGCGAGGAAGCUCCUGGGGCCACCUCUCCACUUUCUGUUUCCAUGAAUAUGAUCGUUCUGGGAAGCUUGGAUACCUCGAGAUUUUGGACGUUACCUCAUUUCUCCCUGGAAUCACUGUUUCUGUUCUAGAAAGAUG